Molecule: long non-coding RNA, 539 nt
Organism: Cyprinus carpio carpio
Lineage: Eukaryota; Metazoa; Chordata; Actinopteri; Cypriniformes; Cyprinidae
Source: Ensembl
AUGUUCCAGUUUAAUAUUUUUAAUGGUCAAUAUUUUCAAAUUCCAUUUGCAUUUUGUACUGACAUUCUUCUAAAUAUCUUCCUUUCUGUUCAGCAGAAGAAAGAAAUUCAUACAGGUUUGAAACAACAUGAGGAUCUAACUACUUAUAGAAGGUCUGCUGUUCUUCGUGGUCUUCCCCUGUACUUGAGAGAGCCAGCUUCAAUUUCAAAGACUAUUAAGGAUACUGAGGCACUGGGGCCACACACAAAGGCCAUGAAAAUGGGGAUCCUGGAAGUGACUGACAGUUCUACCAACUCAGGACCAUAUCCCACAGUGGUCAAUGUGGCUGUAGUACUGGAGGAGGAAGUUUUACUGAAUUUCAUUUUGUAAAGCAGAUAUUUGUUUUUCCAGUACAGCUAUUGACUAAGAGUGAUAUGUCAUGCUUUCUUGAACUCUCAGAUCUUGUUUCGGCACUGGUUGAAUACUUGUGUAAUAUUUUACUUGAGCCUAACAGGCAAGUUCAUAUGCACUUAAAUAAAUACAUAAAAUGUUCUUUAUCA